Molecule: ribosomal RNA, 398 nt
Filed under: uncultured bacterium
Lineage: Bacteria
Description: partial 16S ribosomal RNA
Rfam family: Bacterial small subunit ribosomal RNA
Source: RNAcentral
AUACGUAGGGGGCGAGCGUUGUCCGGAAUGACUGGGCGUAAAGGGCGUGUAGGCGGCUGUCUAAGUCUGGAGUGAAAGUCCUGCUUUCAAGGUGGGAAUUGCUUUGGAGACUGGAUGGCUUGAGUGCGGAAGAGGUAAGUGGAAUUCCCAGUGUAGCGGUGAAAUGCGUAGAGAUUAGGAAGAACACCGGUGGCGAAGGCGGCUAUCUGGACAGUAACGGACGCUGGGGCGGGAAAGCGUGGGGAGCAGAGAGGAUUAGAUACCCGGGUAGUCCACGCCGUAAACGAUGAAUACUAGGUGUAGGGGGUAUCGACUCCCUCUGUGCCGCAGUUAACACAAUAAGUAUUCCGCCUGGGGAGUACGGCCGCAAGGUUGAAACUCAAAGGAAUUGGCGGGGG